This is a long non-coding RNA of Acanthopagrus latus (yellowfin seabream), 519 nucleotides long. RefSeq lists it as uncharacterized. The transcript has 3 exons. Lineage: Eukaryota; Metazoa; Chordata; Actinopteri; Spariformes; Sparidae. The record is from RefSeq and is a predicted model, not a curated record.
UCAACAAGCUUUUGUCAUUGUCUGAAAUUUACAUGCGCCGGCUGUAUGAAAACGGAAUUAUUUUUAAUGAGAUCAUCAUCCAGCGGCGUGUCCACGUCCAAUUGCCAUUCGAAGUGCAAUUUUGAAUGCCUGCCUUUGAUUUGCGAGUCGCUAGAUUACAAAAAAUAUUCAUUAAUAUAUUACCCUGUCCUACUGAAGAAUGACCCUGUGCUUUCAAGGACUACAAGACAACUAAUCUUUGAACACCAAAUUGUCUGAUGAUUGAAACUGUAUCAUUUCAGAACAAUUCCUCAUCCCGUUAAGUGUUUGUUAAUUUCCUCUUUUGGGAGAUGAGAAGUGAGCAGAGAUACAACAAACUGCGGAAGAGAGGCUCAUCAUGCAUGAAAUGAAAGAGAGCUUUACCCUCCUGUAGGGGCUGGCGCUGACGUAUUCGCCGAAGGUAAAAGCCGACAUACACUCCACUCACUUAUUGCAUUUUACAUUCCAGUCAGAUUGGCUUCAGCAACGCGUCUCCCUUUA